This 9353-nucleotide long non-coding RNA is filed under the name Nicotiana tabacum (common tobacco). RNAcentral describes it as "long non-coding RNA (NTAB_LNC014802)". The record is from RNAcentral. Lineage: Eukaryota; Viridiplantae; Streptophyta; Magnoliopsida; Solanales; Solanaceae.
GGGCAAGCAUUGUAUCAAUGAACCAUCGUUCUUAAAAUAUGAAUACAUAUGGGCCGUCAAGGCCUCUGACAUAUUAUACAAAAUGAACCUUUAUGUGUCUACAAAGCCUCUAAGAUUAUUUGAUAUCAAAUGGGACAGGGUACCGGCCUACCCAUAAGUCUGUAGCAAAACUUUGAGACGAUGACUCACAGACUCGGCUGCACUCCUAAUGAGGUGGAGUCUUACCGAUCCUUCACUGAAUGCUAACCUCGACUACUAUGAGGCUCAUCAAACUGAUUAUCUAUACCUGCAGGCAUGAAUGUAGCGUCCCCAACAAAAUGACGUCAGUACGAAUAAUGUACUGAGUAUGUAAGACAUCUAAAUAAAUAUAUAAAGAGUAUGGAAAAAACAUGGUGUAAAGGACUCAACCUGUAAGUCCGGAUAACUCUGUAUAUCAUUUAAUACUUAUAGUGUCAUGCAUAUGCAUAUGAAUAUUAUGUCGUGCAUAGGUAAAUGUGUUCAUAACAUCAUCAAGCUUCUAAGGGCAUCCCAUCAUAUAAUCUCAGCCACUAUGGGCAAAAUCAUCGUCGUAUACCAACUGAUCAGAUGGUGGUGUGUAUAUAACGCCAUAACCUUUCCCAUAUCCCAUAUAUAUAUACUUAUAUAUACGUGUAUAUAACGCCAUAACAUCAUCACACCUCUGAGGGUGUCCCAUCAUAUCAUCUCGGCCACUGUGGAAAAUCAUCAACGUAUACCAGCUGAUCAGGUGGUGGUGCGUAUAUAACGCCAUAACCUUUUCCCAUAUUCCAUGUAUAUAUAUAUAUAUAUAUAUAUGCGUAUAUAACGUCGUCUGGGUCAUGGGUAAAUGCACAUGUGAAUGAAUGCAAUGCAUGAGAAGUACGUUAAUAAAAUCUCUCGAAAUAUCAUAACACCAUUAUCCCUUUGAUUAAAAUCAAUCAAGUUUUUCACUGCAUAUUCAGCCAAGUCAGUACGCCCAUGAAUUUUGCAGCCGUUAGGCAAGGUACCCCAUGUAACUGAAAAGGACAUUGAGGUUAAAGUAAACAAAGAAAUGUCUUCAUGAGCAGUAUAUGAAAGAUGCAAUGUCUCUAGACGACUUCCUUCACAGAAAGCUUGAGUUCCAAUAUAAAACCAUCCUUACAAGUUAAAACACAGUUUAAAUUACCAAACUCUUUUCUUUGGGAAAGGUGGUGCAUGUGCCAACUUAUGUGCACCUUGACUAAAUUUAUCUGGUACCUGCUACCUCCCGCUAACACAAGUAUCUGGUGACUCUGUUCACCAAGGCUUAAGACAAAUGAGAAGAAAUAACCUAGAGUUAUGUGUCUCCAAUGAGAUUGGAACAAGAAACCUAAGAAUCUUAGGUUUUGAAAAUUGUCACACUCUUAAUGGACGCACAUUACAAAUCUUUGAAGUAUUUGGGAAAAUAUUAAACGUCCAACACUUCAUUAGAAGACUCAAACAUGUGUAUUGGGAAUACAAUUUAAAUUUCUAAUUAUUGUAUUCUGGAUUAAUUGAAUGAUUGUCAUUGUUUGGACAACAUAGAAUGAUAAGGUUCAUUUUAUAGAACUAGAUACUACCUGCUUUAACAUAAUUUUCGCUCGAGAAAAUAAGAAACUAUGUCUCUAGAUUUAGAAAUACUAAUAGAAAGAUGAAAUCAAGUUCCACCUACACUUUAUAUAAACAGUAGAAAGAACAAUUUUGUUCAUGAAUUGUAACAAGCCUAAAAUGACUAAAUCUGUAUCAAGCAGUAGAAGUGAGAAGAUAAAAUGUGGUAGUGUGGCGUAGAACAACCAUUAUCUCAACAGCACCCCCCUUCUUUUGGGGUAAGUCAUGAUGAUAAUAGCUUUUCCAAACCAGAUUGUGAAUGUCAACAAAAGAAACAUGAACUUACGAACAGCAUGCAAGCCGAGUAGGCUGUUGAAGACACUAACAUUCAAAGAUUACAAACUUUUAUUGGCAUUGAAGCAAAGCCCCAGAGAUAUACAUCUCAAUAAGCCAAAACUCGAGGGCAUAAGAUGAAUAGAACAAACCUGAAAUAAUUGUCAUUGAAUGAAUUUUCGAAUUAACCAGCUUCUCGCAGACAGGAAAAAUCCCUUGAAGUUUAAAUUGAAGCCAUUAUUAUAUUAUAUAUGGUGAUCUAAUUUUGUAAAAAGCUUUCAUCUUCUAACAAUGUGACACCCAUUCUAAAUGACUAAUGAGUCAUUAAUUUGAAGGUGAGGGGGCUGCCACGUGGGGAUGAGGUGGGUAAGUUUAAUCUUUAUCCACUUAUUAGGUAAUUAGGAAAUAUUCCGUUACCCGAUAAUUAAGCAAUUUCCCGCAUAAUUAAGAAAUGUCUCAAAUUACUUAAAACUUUACAUAUUUUAAUACACUUUAUACAUCACACUAUCAUGGUCAUGUGGUACCAUAUAAAAUAAAUAUAUACACUAUUAUUUCAUUAAAACAUCCAUGUAAAAAUACAUAUAUUUUCUCAAUAUUCUAUUUUUCCUAGUCUCAUAUAAAGAGUACAAAUUUUUCAUAUGCUUAAUUUUUAAAUGGUAAAAUAUAACCUUAUUUCCUUGUGAGAAUAUAAUUUAUAUCUUUACAAUAAUGAAAUUCUUUGUAUACUAUAAAUUCUCAAAACGGAAAAAGGAUAACUUUUCUUAUGAUAAAAUACUAUCUACUCUUAUAAUAAAUAAAACCUCAUUUAUAAACUCCCACAUGUCAUAUAUUUAAUUUAAAACUUAUCACAACCAUAUAAAAUCGUAUCAAUCAACUUUUACCGAAAAUGAUUUACUUCAAAGAAAAUACAUAUCAAGUCAAAAUAUAGUAGUUCCGAAAUUCUUCAAACUUACAGGGUCUUACAUCCCUAUCUUCAUGUACCUUAAUCCCUUCCAAAUCAUAUGUUAUUACUUCGACGAAUCCUAACUUUAAAGUACAGGAUGUAACAUCCUUCCCCCCUUUAGAACAUUCAUCCUCGAAUGUUAACUCUUAGAGAUUUGCAAAAUUUUCAAUAGGGUAUCCUCUGUAAAUUGAACUUAAAACCCAAUCUAUUUCUGAAGUCUCGACUAUUCACAACCUUGAGUAUCUUGUAUCUUCUUCACCUUUACCUUACUUACUUUUCAAUUUCGCAUCGUAUCUUCUAUUUCUUUUAUAACAUCCCUUUCACAUAAGUAGAAAUUACAUCUACGCCUUAAAGCUCUAUUAUGAUAGCACCUCUAGUGCAUACGAAACCUGGUGAAAACUUCAUAUUGACUUCUUACGGCUCAGUUCUAUGGCACAAUCGGGAAACAAAAGAAGGGUAACAUUUCCUAAAUACCUUAUAGCCUCUCCAUUAUAAAUGUGGCGCGCAACACAUCCAUAAGUGAGACUCUACUAGGCACGACUUUGUAGACUCCCUAGGACACGACUCGUUCUGAUACCACUUUGUCACGCCCCAAACCUGGGGAGGCGUGGCUGACACCCGGUGCCGUACUGGACCGAGCGAACCACUCUGCAACUCCUUUUUCUUCUUCUGCAACUAUCAUGGGCCAACAUGGCCACAACUCGUAAUGUAUAACUAUAAGUGGGCAAGCAUUGUAUCAAUGAACCAUCGUUCUUAAAAUAUGAAUACAUAUGAGCCAUCAAGGCAUCUGACAUAUUAUACAAAAUAAACCUUUGUGUGUCUACAAAGCCUCUAAGAGUAUUUGACAUCAAAUGGGACAGGGUACCGGCCUACCCAUAAGUCUGUAACAAAACUUUGAGACGAUGACUCACAGACUCGGCUGUACUCCGAAUGAGGUGGAGUCUUACCGAUCCUUCGCUGAAUGCUAACCUAGACUACUAUGAGGGAUCAUCAAACUGAUUAUCUAUACCUGCAGACAUGAAUGCAGCGUCCCCAACAAAAGGACAUCAAUACGAAUAAUGUAUUGAGUAUAUGAGGCAUCUAAAUAAAUAUAUAAAGAGUAUGGAAGAAACAUGGAGUAAAGGACUCAACCUGUAAGUCUGGAUAACUCUGUAUAUCAUUUAAUACUUAUAGUGUCAUGCAUAUGCGUAUGAAUGUUAUGUCGUGCAUAGGUACAUGUGUUCAUAACAUCAUCAAGCCUCUGAGGGCAUCCCAUCAUAUCAUCUCAGCCACUAUGGGCAAAAUCAUCAUCGUAUACCAGCUGAUCAGAUGGUGAUGCGUAUAUAACGCCAUAACCUUUCCCAUAUCUCAUAAACAAACCAGAUUGUGAAUGUCAACAAAAUAAACAUGAACUUACGAACAGCAUGCAAGCUGAGUAGGCUGUUGAAGACACUUACAUUCAAAGAUUACAAACUUUUAUUGGCAUUGAAGCAAAGCCCCAGAGAUAUAUAUCUCAAUAAGCCAAAACUUGAGGGCAUAAGAUGAACAGAACAAACCUGAAGUAAUUGUCAUUGAUUGAAUUUUCGAAUUAACCAGCUUCUCGCAGACAGGAAAAAUCCCUUGAAGUUUAAAUUGAAGCCAUUAUUAUACUAUAUAUGGUGACCUAAUUUAGUAAAAAGCUUUCAUCUUCUAACAGUGUGACACCCAUUCUAAAUGACUAAUGAGUCAUUAAUUUGAAGGUGAGGGGCCUGCCACGUGGGGAUGAGGUGGGUAAGUUUAAUCUUUAUCCACUUAUUAGGUAAUUAGGAAAUAUUCCGUUACCCGAUAAUUAAGCAAUUUCCCGCAUAAUUAAGAAAUGUCUCAAAUUACUUAAAACUCUACUUAUUUUUAAUAUACUUUAUACAUCAUACUAUCAUGGUCAUGUGGUACCAUAUAAAUAAAUAUAUACAUUUCAUUAAAACAUCCAUGUAAAAAUACAUAUAUUUUCUCAAUAUUUUAAUUUUCCUAGUCUCAUAUAAAGAGUAAAUGUUUUUCAUAUGCUUAAUUUUAAAUGGUAAAAUAUAACCUUAUUUUCUUGUGAGAAUAUAAUUUAUAUCUUUACAAUAAUGAAAUUCUUUUUAUACUAUAAAUUCUCAAAACGGAAAAAGGAUAACUUUUCUUAUGAUAAAAUACUAUCUACUCUUAUAAUAAAUAAAACCUCAUUUAUAACCUCCCGCAUGUCAUGUAUUUAAUUUAAAACUUAUCACAACCAUAUAAAAUCGUAUCUAUCAACUUUUACCGAAAAUGAUUUAGUUCAAAGAAAAUACAUAUCAAGCCAAUAUAUAGUAGUUCUGAAAUUCUUCAAACUUACAGGGUCAUACACCCCUAUCAUCAUGUACCUUAAUCCCUUCCAACUCAUUUGUUAUUUAUUCAACGAAUCCUAACGUUAAAGUACGGGAUGUAACAGCUCUGAAUUCAGUUCAAGCCCCAAAAAUAAUAUGUUUCUUUUAAUACUUCAGUUCAUCAUGUUCCUGAUUUGUUUUUACCUAUGGUUUUGUUGUUCAACAUGUAAUUAAUCUCUUUGCUUCAACAUGCUCUCAUGAACUAGUAACUUGACUCUACUCUGUUUGAUGCAUGUCUACUAGUUCUAGUAUGCACUUGUUGGGCUAUUGCCCAAGUUGUUUUAAUAUUAUGCUCAGUCAUGUUUAGUAUAAAAUCCUAUACUCUACUAUCUCCCAACUCUCAUAAAUCCCCCUAGGCAUCUCUGGUUUUGUAAUUGUGUUCUAAUUAAUACUCCUGAAUCUAUGUCUUACUACCUGCACUAAGAGCAAAGGACUUCUGCCUAUUAUGUGUUUAUCAUACCUGCCUUAUUUGUCCACAACCCCUAAUUGACCUUAUGUGGAGACUUGUUCCCCGAGUGUUUGCUGAACUUGCUUGACUGACCUGCUGUUUGUUGAGUUACAUGACUGUUCUCAAAAGCUAUUUUACUAAACAACCCUCUUAUUUACAAAACUAUUUCAAGCAAAUCUCUUUAACACUGUUUUCCCACUAAAACCUUUCAAACUGUGUCAAGCAUUCUCACUCUACUCCUAAGUCAUUAGGUUCUACCCCCUCCAGUAUGUGUACUGCCUUGGGAUUCUCUUGAGAACCCUCUGAACUCUGACACACUGAGGUUGGCCCUUCCACACUGUACUUACUCAAUUUGGUUACCAAGUCUAGGUGUGAGCACUGUCUGGGAUCCUUGAGAUACUUAGGGAACUCUGACGCACCUAGACAAUGAUAUUGUCUAUGAAAUUGGGCAUUUGAGGCUAUUAGAGGUUUUGGAAAAUCACUUGGGCCUGAUACAGACUCCCUAUAAUGUAACGUCUUCUUUUCCUUUUAUCUAUUUAUGAAAUUUAUUCAUAUGGUCGGUAAUAAUUUGUAAACGGAUAUUGGGGUAACUAGUGGAAAAGGGUGGGUAGUUACAUAUUUGUGGGGUAAUACGGAUAGAAACCAUGCUUAUAGGACUUGAUAUUUUGCUAUAUUUUACCUUACCAUGUUAGAAAUCAUUCCUAUAGGUUUCAAGUGGUUCCAAUAAUAGAAAUCAUGAUUAUAGGUCUUAAAAUCAGCUUCACAAGUAGAUACAAUGUCUAUAGGAUAUGAUCCAGCUCAACUUCUGUUAUAACGAGUGUUUACAUGUGUUUUUUAUUUGUUGUCACGCCUACAAGUUUCUAACAUCAGUACUUAAAUAAUUAGAUGUCAUGCCUAUAAGAAACAAUAUCAGAAACUCUGCCUAGAUCUAAAAUCAGUUUAGUUUAAAUAAGUCAAUCCAAUUCUUGAGUAGUUUGCUUCGAAACUAGUCUAAUUAAAGGUUUGUUUUUUCCUGAAACUAGUCUAUAGGGACUUAAGAGUCAAUCUUAAAUCUGCCCCUAUUUUAUAAAACGUAGUUAUCAUUAUUCCGCAUGUACGCAAGCCUAUAGGACAUUUUCAAAUCCUGUAACUCUGAAACUGUCUCUGUUACUUAAUGUUGUCCUGACUUAACAGGUUUAAAAUCAGUAGGCAAACUGAUAGGGCCAUUACUUCUGAGUUUAUAAAAUAAAAUGCCUAUCUUCUGUGUCUUGAUAUUCACUUAGACAUCCUGCCUUAGGAUACUGUUUAACAAAAGGCCCUUAUCUGUAUCUGAGUCAUGCUGCCUAUGUGCAUUGUUUUGUGGAGGUAAACUUGAGCCUCUAAUUGCUCCCCUUUUGUCUUAUGUGCUAAAGUCCUAAUUGUUCUUGCAUGUCGCCUAAGCAUUUUCUCCUUUAAGCCUUAGGGGUCUGUCUAGAACUACCUAUAGGUAGGGGUCCUAAAUUUCCUCCAGGACCAUUAAGAAGGGACGGGUAACAACAUGCAAUAGAGAUCAUUGACCAACACGCGCUUUAAUAACCACUAAGGGGGUAAUAAGGGUAGAUAUGGGAUAUGAUGACUACGCGCUAAUAUCACGUGUAGCCCCUCAUUGAGGAGUGUUUACCGGACAUUGUGUGGGGUGAUCCUAUAGGCUAACCAACCUAGGACUGCUCCUCUCCCAAAAUUCCUUUUGUUAAAACUUUGUUUCAUAUGUGUACAACUUGUUCAAAAUCUUUGCCUUAUUAAUUGAGUGAUACAACGUGCUUUACUUGCAAAUUAUUUGAUUCAACUAUUUAUUUGUUAAUGGACUAAUUCGUAAAUAUAAGUUCGGUCGGGACCCACCGUUGUGGACCACGAGGGGUGCCUAACACCUUCCCCUCAAGGUUAUUUCGAGCCCUUACCCUAAUCUUUGAUAAUGCAAACUAGUCCAUGAGUUAAUUACUCUAGGUGCCCUGACGUACCUUAAUUCUUUAGGUGGCGACUAUUCAAAUACUCAAUUCCCAAAAGGAAAUGAGUUAUUUCCCCCAUAAAUGUCGAAACUCGGACUUCCCCAUAAAAAAAGGAGGUAAAAAAGGGAUGCGACACACAUCAAGGGCAACACUCCGUUCUACACAAGGAAAAAUGAAUAAAUGAGAGAGUCUUAUUGGGAAAAACCCUCACGGGCACUGUAAGGUGAUGGAAAACUGAGAGAAAACUAAAAUGAGAGAGUCUUAUUGGUAAAAACCCUCGCAUGCACCGUAAGGAGAUAGUGAGUCGAGAGAUGAACAAAUGAGAGAGGUCUGUUGGUGAAAACUUGUCAAGGCACUGCAAGCCGAAUGAGGCACGUGACUUUGCAAAGAGAUUGGAUUAUAGAAAAUCUCGGUUUCGAAGUAUGAAGACAGGGCACAAUAUGAUUAGGUGAACGGUCUGGGCUGAUUAAUCCAAAAUGCAUGUCAUGAUCAUUGGUGCCAGCUACUUCGAUCAGAUAAGUCUCUUUUCCAUUCUUCCUCAAAUAGUCAUCUUGUUUCAAAUUUUCCUCUUUAUUCCUAAUUCUCGAAGUCACUUCUUUUUUAUUUUCUUUUGGGUCUACUUUUCUAAGUCUUUUCCAAUGUUAGCCUUGUUAAGCAAGCAAGAAAGGAUUUCAAAGCUUAUUAUUAACUUUCAGAUUGCACAAAACAAAGUGCUGCCAAAGCAUACCAGAAAUAACACGUUUCAAAAUGAGAAAUAAGGUGUUAAUGGGAGUUCAAGUGGUCAUUUGAUUUCGUGAAUUUUGAGGGAAUAUAAAGGUUCAAAUUGGAAGGACAGAAAUAUAAAAUAGCAGGAUGAGUAUGAGGCACUCGGGUCAUUCAAAGUUCUGUGGUUAAGGUUUGAUCAGAAGGUCAAACAAUUCUUUGCUAGCCCAAGGCGGCUAAUCCGAACAAAGCGGUAGUGGAAAAGUCACCUUCAACAAGAAUGCCACAAACUACCCACCACAUUUUCAAACUGAUAAGAUUUUCUUUGAUUGAAACAGGGGCAGGACAUUUUGUUUGUUCCGGAGGAACCCUAGUGAGGAAAGCAGGUGCUAGACAGGUUCAGUUGUAAAUUUUCAAGACCCUCCUGGAUAAUGGGAUUUAAUUUAAAGUUCUCAGGACCCUCAUGGAUAAUGAGAUUUAAUUUAAAGUUUUCAGGACCCUCCUAGAUAAUGGGAUGUAGUUUUAAGUUGUCAGGACUCUCCUGGAUAAUGAGAUUUAAUUUCGAGUUUUCAGGCCCCUCUUGAAUAAUGGGAUGUAUUUUUAAGUUGUCAGGACCCUCCUGGAUAAUGGGAUUUAAUUUCGAGUUCUCAGGACCCUCUUGGAUAAUAAGAUUUAGUUUCAAGUUUUCAGGGCCCUCCUGGAUAAUGGAAUUUAAGUUCAAGUUUUCAGGACCCUCCUGGAUAAUGGGAUUUAGUUUAAGUUUUACCUUUAGGAAAUAGAAUUCAGCUUUCAGGUUUUCAUUUUUAAGAUGAGAUUUAAUUUUAGUUCUCAGGGCCCUCCAGGAUAAUGGGAUUUUCAACUUUUAAAUUCUUAGGUUUCUUUUGGAUAACAUGAUUCGAUUAACACUCACAGAUAUUCCCAGUACCAAACUGGGGCAGAAAAGUUUGUUUUGUUUUGUCUGUUUUGUUGUAAUGACAGGCACCCACCUGGAGAACAAGGGAAUUCAUUUCAAAGUUCAGCAUCAGGCACCCACCUGGAAAAUAAGGGAAAAUUCAUUUCAA